This 200-nucleotide ribosomal RNA is filed under the name uncultured bacterium. RNAcentral's name for it is "partial 16S ribosomal RNA". It matches the Rfam family "Bacterial small subunit ribosomal RNA", at positions 524 to 723 of the family's 1533-position model. The record is from RNAcentral.
UACGUAGGGUGCGAGCGUUAAUCGGAAUUACUGGGCGUAAAGCGUGCGCAGGCGGUUAUGUAAGACAGGUGUGAAAUCCCCGGGCUCAACCUGGGAACUGCGCUUGUGACUGCAUAACUUGAGUGUGGCAGAGGGGGGUGGAAUUCCACGUGUAGCAGUGAAAUGCGUAGAGAUGUGGAGGAACACCGAUGGCGAAGGCA